GAUGAACGCUAGCGGCAGGCCUAACACAUGCAAGUCGAGGGGUAGAGUUAGCUUGCUAACUUGAGACCGGCGCACGGGUGCGUAACGCGUAUGCAAUCUACCCUGUAGAGGGGGAUAGCCCAGAGAAAUUUGGAUUAAUACCCCAUAGUAUAAUAGAGUGGCAUCAUUUUAUUAUUAAAGUUCCAACGCUACAAGAUGAGCAUGCGUCCCAUUAGUUAGUUGGUGUGGUAACGGCGCACCAAGACGAUGAUGGGUAGGGGUCCUGAGAGGGAGAUCCCCCACACUGGUACUGAGACACGGACCAGACUCCUACGGGAGGCAGCAGUGAGGAAUAUUGGUCAAUGGACGCAAGUCUGAACCAGCCAUGCCGCGUGCAGGAAGAAGGCUCUAUGGGUUGUAAACUGCUUUUGUACGGGAAGAAAUUAUCCCUCGUGAGGGAGCUUGACGGUACCGUAAGAAUAAGG
This 464-nucleotide ribosomal RNA is filed under the name uncultured bacterium. RNAcentral describes it as "bacterial SSU rRNA". It matches the Rfam family "Bacterial small subunit ribosomal RNA", at positions 28 to 491 of the family's 1533-position model. The record is from RNAcentral.